Molecule: long non-coding RNA, 1104 nt
Filed under: Oryctolagus cuniculus (rabbit)
Lineage: Eukaryota; Metazoa; Chordata; Mammalia; Lagomorpha; Leporidae
Description: lncRNA (ENSOCUG00000030540.1)
Source: RNAcentral
AUGGCCGCAGCCCUCACCUCCGCCCUCCACGCCCGUUCUGACCCGCAGGCUGUGCCGUGGCCCGUGCCACUGUUGCCCAGUGCCGGCCAACCUCGGCACCUGCCAGUCCCAGGAAUCCCACAGCAGGUGGGAGAUAAUGGUGGGUGCAGGAGACCACAGAGCGGGGGCUGGGAGGACACUGGGAGGAGCUGGGGGUGGGUGUUGGUUGUUGGCGGCGGUGGGGUGUGUGUGUGUGUGUGUGGAGGGAGUGGGGGUUCUCAGCCCCUUGCAUUCAAUGAACCUUGGACCCCCACUCCCUGCCCCGAGGGGCUUCCAUUCCUGCCCAAGGUUCCCCAGGUCCCCCUGCCCAGGAAGCAGGAGCCGCAGUGCCAGGCAUUGUCCCAGCCUCAGGAAGCCCACCUGGUGGGCGGGAGGAACUUAACCUCAGUCUGUGUCACCUGCCCCUCGUGUCAGUGUCCCACCUCCUCCUCAGCUUCCGGCCGGUCUCCUCUCCUGGCUGUCAGUCCCCUCCGUCUUCAUGGCUGCUCCCUCUCUGGCCAAGCGGGUCCCCUCCGUGGCGCACACAGACAAGGCAGCCAGCCUCCCCAAAGACCCGGUGCCUGUCACCAUCCCGGCUCCCAAGUGUCCCCUUUCCUGGUCUUCUCCACGAUGAGCUGCCCUGCUGAGAAGGUUCCCGCUGCCGGCUGUGAGGCCAGCACGCACUUCCUUCUCCCAGAAAGCCCAGCGUCGAAGCGGGGAGUCAGGCGAGAAGGGAGGAGCAAGCUCGCGCACACGUUUCCCACAAGCCUCUGGGGAAGCAGGGCGCUUGCCAGUGGUGGACUUCAGACGUCAAAAGGUAGAGGCUGGGGCAGGCUUGUAGCUUGGUGUCGGGACGCCUGCACCCCUACCCGAGUACCUGCGUCUGGUCCUGGGCUCCCGCUCCUGCCAGUGCAGAUCCCAGGGGGCAGCAGUGAUGGCUCAAUGUCGGGGUCCCCGCCGCCCACGUGGGAGACCUGGAUUGCGUUCUUGGCUUCUGGCUUUGGUCCUGGUCCAGCCCCAGCCAUUGUGGGGCAUUUGGGAAAUGGACCAGCAGAUGGAAGAUCUGUCUGUCUGCCUCUGCAAUAA